Molecule: ribosomal RNA, 1464 nt
Filed under: Lactiplantibacillus plantarum
Lineage: Bacteria; Bacillati; Bacillota; Bacilli; Lactobacillales; Lactobacillaceae
Description: bacterial SSU rRNA
Rfam family: Bacterial small subunit ribosomal RNA
Source: RNAcentral
AGGGGGGGGUGGCCUAAUACAUGCAAGUCGAACGAACUCUGGUAUUGAUUGGUGCUUGCAUCAUGAUUUACAUUUGAGUGAGUGGCGAACUGGUGAGUAACACGUGGGAAACCUGCCCAGAAGCGGGGGAUAACACCUGGAAACAGAUGCUAAUACCGCAUAACAACUUGGACCGCAUGGUCCGAGCUUGAAAGAUGGCUUCGGCUAUCACUUUUGGAUGGUCCCGCGGCGUAUUAGCUAGAUGGUGGGGUAACGGCUCACCAUGGCAAUGAUACGUAGCCGACCUGAGAGGGUAAUCGGCCACAUUGGGACUGAGACACGGCCCAAACUCCUACGGGAGGCAGCAGUAGGGAAUCUUCCACAAUGGACGAAAGUCUGAUGGAGCAACGCCGCGUGAGUGAAGAAGGGUUUCGGCUCGUAAAACUCUGUUGUUAAAGAAGAACAUAUCUGAGAGUAACUGUUCAGGUAUUGACGGUAUUUAACCAGAAAGCCACGGCUAACUACGUGCCAGCAGCCGCGGUAAUACGUAGGUGGCAAGCGUUGUCCGGAUUUAUUGGGCGUAAAGCGAGCGCAGGCGGUUUUUUAAGUCUGAUGUGAAAGCCUUCGGCUCAACCGAAGAAGUGCAUCGGAAACUGGGAAACUUGAGUGCAGAAGAGGACAGUGGAACUCCAUGUGUAGCGGUGAAAUGCGUAGAUAUAUGGAAGAACACCAGUGGCGAAGGCGGCUGUCUGGUCUGUAACUGACGCUGAGGCUCGAAAGUAUGGGUAGCAAACAGGAUUAGAUACCCUGGUAGUCCAUACCGUAAACGAUGAAUGCUAAGUGUUGGAGGGUUUCCGCCCUUCAGUGCUGCAGCUAACGCAUUAAGCAUUCCGCCUGGGGAGUACGGCCGCAAGGCUGAAACUCAAAGGAAUUGACGGGGGCCCGCACAAGCGGUGGAGCAUGUGGUUUAAUUCGAAGCUACGCGAAGAACCUUACCAGGUCUUGACAUACUAUGCAAAUCUAAGAGAUUAGACGUUCCCUUCGGGGACAUGGAUACAGGUGGUGCAUGGUUGUCGUCAGCUCGUGUCGUGAGAUGUUGGGUUAAGUCCCGCAACGAGCGCAACCCUUAUUAUCAGUUGCCAGCAUUAAGUUGGGCACUCUGGUGAGACUGCCGGUGACAAACCGGAGGAAGGUGGGGAUGACGUCAAAUCAUCAUGCCCCUUAUGACCUGGGCUACACACGUGCUACAAUGGAUGGUACAACGAGUUGCGAACUCGCGAGAGUAAGCUAAUCUCUUAAAGCCAUUCUCAGUUCGGAUUGUAGGCUGCAACUCGCCUACAUGAAGUCGGAAUCGCUAGUAAUCGCGGAUCAGCAUGCCGCGGUGAAUACGUUCCCGGGCCUUGUACACACCGCCCGUCACACCAUGAGAGUUUGUAACACCCAAAGUCGGUGGGGUAACCUUUUUAGGAACCCAGCCCCGCCCUU